Molecule: transfer-messenger RNA, 369 nt
Filed under: Candidatus Blackburnbacteria bacterium
Lineage: Bacteria; Candidatus Blackburniibacteriota
Rfam family: transfer-messenger RNA
About the family: Bacterial tmRNA, also known as 10Sa RNA or SsrA, is named for its dual tRNA and mRNA-like properties.
Source: RNAcentral
GGGGAUGAUAGGCAUCGACGGGAAAGUACUUUGACACGUUGCAAGCCGAGGAUGACUAAGCACUCGUUAAAUCAUAGUCAAAAAUAUAAAAGGCACGGAUUAUUCCGCAGCCCGAGUCACAACUUACGCAUACGCGUACGCUUAAACUCGCAUCCACACUUAGUGCGUCUGGUUGCUCAAGUGCUGGGUGUCAACUUUUACCAGAACGCAACCGGUUAUCUGAUCAGUACCGGCCAAGAUUUGAUCUUUGCAGGGAAACCAACUUUGGUUUGCUAAAGGGUUUCUUGCGAGAAAAAAUAGCAAAAUAAGCUUGUAGAUACGUUUAAAGAUCUUGCUCGGAUGAGGGUUCAAUUCCCUCCAUCUCCACAC